This is a ribosomal RNA of Lupinus angustifolius (narrow-leaved blue lupine), 119 nucleotides long. The record is from Rfam. NCBI's taxonomy places the organism in Eukaryota, Viridiplantae, Streptophyta, Magnoliopsida, Fabales, Fabaceae.
AUGUGCGAUCAUACCAGCACUAAUGCACCGGAUCCAAUCAGAACUCCGCAGUUAAGCGUGCUUGGGCGAGAGUAGUACUAGGAUGGGUGACCUCCUGGGAAGUCCUCGUGUUGCACCUC